AAAAAGCGGAGGAAAAGAAACCAACAGGGAUUGCCUCAGUAACGGCGAGUGAAGCGGCAAAAGCUCAAAUUUGAAAUCUGGUACCUUCGGUGCCCGAGUUGUAAUUUGAAGAUUGUACUCUGGAGUUGGCCCUUGUCUAUGUUCCUUGGAACAGGACGUCACAGAGGGUGAGAAUCCCGUGCGAUGGGGUGUCCAAUUCCAUGUAGAGUGCUAUCGAAGAGUCGAGUUGUUUGGGAAUGCAGCUCUAAGUGGGUGGUAAAUUCCAUCUAAAGCUAAAUAUUGGCGAGAGACCGAUAGCGAACAAGUACAGUGAUGGAAAGAUGAAAAGAACUUUGAAAAGAGAGUGAAAAAGUACGUGAAAUUGUUGAAAGGGAAGGUUAUUAGAUCAGACUUGGUGUUUGGCGAUAUUCAGCCUCUUGUAGGCUGUUCACUCGUCUUUCACUGGGCCAGCAUCGGUUUGGAUGGCAGGAUAAUGGCUGUUGAACGUGGCUCUUCGGAGUGUUAUAGCUUCAGCUGAUACUGCCUAUCUAGACCGAGGACUGCGGCUUUCGAGCCUAGGAUGCUGGCGUAAUGAUCUAAUAUCGCCCGUCUUGACC
RNAcentral lists this ribosomal RNA (596 nucleotides) under Waltiozyma solani. Its description in RNAcentral is "[Candida] solani partial large subunit ribosomal RNA". It matches the Rfam family "Eukaryotic large subunit ribosomal RNA", at positions 45 to 659 of the family's 3401-position model. Lineage: Eukaryota; Fungi; Ascomycota; Saccharomycetes; Phaffomycetales; Wickerhamomycetaceae. The record is from RNAcentral.